AACUGAGCUAGCGGCGGACGGGUGAGUAAUGCUUAGGAAUCUGCCUAUUAGUGGGGGACAACAUUCCGAAAGGGAUGCUAAUACCGCAUACGUCCUACGGGAGAAAGCAGGGGCUCUUUAUGACCUUGCGCUAAUAGAUGAGCCUAAGUCGGAUUAGCUAGUUGGUGGGGUAAAGGCCUACCAAGGCGACGAUCUGUAGCGGGUCUGAGAGGAUGAUCCGCCACACUGGGACUGAGACACGGCCCAGACUCCUACGGGAGGCAGCAGUGGGGAAUAUUGGACAAUGGGGGGAACCCUGAUCCAGCCAUGCCGCGUGUGUGAAGAAGGCCUUUUGGUUGUAAAGCACUUUAAGUGGGGAGGAGGCUUACCUGGUUAAUACCUGGGCUAAGUGGACGUUACCCACAGAAUAAGCACCGGCUAACUCUGUGCCAGCAGCCGCGGUAAUACAGAGGGUGCGAGCGUUAAUCGGAUUUACUGGGCGUAAAGCGCGCGUAGGUGGUUAAUUAAGUCAAAUGUGAAAUCCCCGAGCUUAACUUGGGAAUUGCAUUCGAUACUGGUUAGCUAGAGUAUGGGAGAGGAUGGUAGAAUUCCAGGUGUAGCGGUGAAAUGCGUAGAGAUCUGGAGGAAUACCGAUGGCGAAGGCAGCCAUCUGGCCUAAUACUGACACUGAGGUGCGAAAGCAUGGGGAGCAAACAGGAUUAGAUACCCUGGUAGUCCAUGCCGUAAACGAUGUCUACUAGCCGUUGGGGGAUUUGAUCCUUUAGUGGCGCAGCUAACGCGAUAAGUAGACC
This 791-nucleotide ribosomal RNA is filed under the name Acinetobacter seohaensis. RNAcentral describes it as "bacterial SSU rRNA". It matches the Rfam family "Bacterial small subunit ribosomal RNA", at positions 85 to 870 of the family's 1533-position model. Lineage: Bacteria; Pseudomonadati; Pseudomonadota; Gammaproteobacteria; Moraxellales; Moraxellaceae. The record is from RNAcentral.